GACCUGAUCGUAUGCGGAAAACGUAAUGAGAUUUAAAAAUUAUUUACAAUGUUUAAAUAGACUCAUUAAUCGAUUUUUUUGUGUAUUCAAUGGAUCGAUUGUUGUCCCAUCUCCCAUGUGUGGGAUAGGUGGUGUUUCUUCGGUAAUGGGAUUUUUUUUGAAUCCUAAACCAUAGUUAUGACGAUUGCUCUUUGAUUUAGUUCAUUGAGUAACCCAAUGGAGCU
This 224-nucleotide small nuclear RNA is filed under the name Monosporozyma unispora. Its description in RNAcentral is "Kazachstania unispora partial RNase MRP RNA". The record is from RNAcentral. Lineage: Eukaryota; Fungi; Ascomycota; Saccharomycetes; Saccharomycetales; Saccharomycetaceae.